GGGGGUGUUUCGGCUUCGACGGGGAUCACGAAAUCACUUGGUGCAUGCCGAGGGGGUAGCUUUCCUCGUAAAUCCAGCUGCUAACUUUUAGUUGCCAACAACGACAACUACGCUCUGGCCGCUUAAGGUCUAAGCCCCGAAACCGCUGGGUUCCUGUGCCUGCGGAGGUAGGGUCAUUAACACAGGACCGCCACGGUAGCUGCCUGUCAGCCGUGGUCAAAUUAAACAGGCUGGUUCUGUGGUGUGCUCUGCCCUUCGUGUUACCACAGAAUGAGAUCAAACGAUGGGACAAGCAUGUAGGACCAGGGACGUAGGAUCUUCGGACGCGGGUUCGACUCCCGCCACCUCCACCA
This 353-nucleotide transfer-messenger RNA is filed under the name Rhodanobacteraceae. RNAcentral describes it as "Metallibacterium sp913053815 Standard tmRNA". It matches the Rfam family "transfer-messenger RNA". Rfam says of the family: Bacterial tmRNA, also known as 10Sa RNA or SsrA, is named for its dual tRNA and mRNA-like properties. Its role is to liberate the mRNA from a stalled ribosome. To accomplish this part of the tmRNA is used as a reading frame that ends in a translation stop signal. Lineage: Bacteria; Pseudomonadati; Pseudomonadota; Gammaproteobacteria; Lysobacterales. RNAcentral also lists the same sequence under 1 other name. The record is from RNAcentral.